Molecule: ribosomal RNA, 741 nt
Filed under: Streptomyces sp. KB13
Lineage: Bacteria; Bacillati; Actinomycetota; Actinomycetes; Kitasatosporales; Streptomycetaceae
Description: bacterial SSU rRNA
Rfam family: Bacterial small subunit ribosomal RNA
Source: RNAcentral
GGAUCUCUGGGCCAUUACUGACGCUGAGGAGCGAAAGCGUGGGGAGCGAACAGGAUUAGAUACCCUGGUAGUCCACNCYGUAAACGUUGGGAWCUAGGUGUUGSCGACAUUCCACGUCGUCGGUGCCGCAGCUAACGCAUUAAGUUCCCCGCCUGGGGAGUACGGCCGCAAGGCUAAAACUCAAAGGAAUUGACGGGGGCCCGCACAAGCAGCGGAGCAUGUGGCUUAAUUSGACSCAACGCGAAGAACCUUACCAAGGCUUGACAUAUACCGGAAAGCAUCAGAGAUGGUGCCCCCCUUGUGGUCGGUAUACAGGUGGUGCAUGGCUGUCGUCAGCUSGUGUCGUGAGAUGUUGGGUUAAGUCCCGCAACGAGCGCAACCCUUGUUSUGUGUUGCCAGCAUGCCCUUCGGGGUGAUGGGGACUCACAGGAGACUGCCGGGGUCAACUCGGAGGAAGGUGGGGACGACGUCAAGUCAUCAUGCCCYUUAUGUCUUGGGCUGCACACGUGCUACAAUGGCCGGUACAAUGAGCUGCGAUGCCGCGAGGCGGAGCGAAUCUCAAAAAGCCGGUCUCAGUUCGGAUUGGGGUCUGCAACUCGACCCCAUGAAGUCGGAGUUGCUAGUAAUCGCAGAUCAGCAUUGCUGCGGUGAAUACGUUCCCGGGCCUUGUACACACCGCCCGUCACGUCACGAAAGUCGGUAACACCCGAAGCCGGUGGCCCAACCCCUUGUGGGAGGGAG